GCCGUGGUGGCUGUUGGUUGCCAAUUCGGACUUUCAAUCCGGGCCGCGCGAGUUCGAUCCUCGUCCACGGUGCCA
RNAcentral lists this transfer RNA (75 nucleotides) under Aeromicrobium panaciterrae. Its description in RNAcentral is "tRNA-Glu". It matches the Rfam family "tRNA". From Rfam's summary of the family: Transfer RNA (tRNA) molecules are approximately 80 nucleotides in length. Their secondary structure includes four short double-helical elements and three loops (D, anti-codon, and T loops). Further hydrogen bonds mediate the characteristic L-shaped molecular structure. tRNAs have two regions of fundamental functional importance: the anti-codon, which is responsible for specific mRNA codon recognition, and the 3' end, to which the tRNAs corresponding amino acid is attached (by aminoacyl-tRNA synthetases). tRNAs cope with the degeneracy of the genetic code in two manners: having more than one tRNA (with a specific anti-codon) for a particular amino acid; and 'wobble' base-pairing, i.e. permitting non-standard base-pairing at the 3rd anti-codon position. The record is from RNAcentral. Lineage: Bacteria; Bacillati; Actinomycetota; Actinomycetes; Propionibacteriales; Nocardioidaceae.